GGCUUAUCCAAGUGUUUAGAAGAUAGGAAAAAUGAUUUGAAAGCACAAGACACACUUUCUCUGGAUGCUGCAAACUCUUUGAUAUCAAAAUUAAGAGCUCAGCUAGGGCCAUUUCGACCUGUCAUAGAUGAAGCAAGCCCUUGGGAGGAGAAAUCUGCAGCCAUUAGAUUGUCUGAUAAGAUGCUAAAGAGUAAACGAAAUAAACUUUGGAGGAAGAGAAAGAGAAAACGUAUUGCAGAAAUGCAUGCAAAGGAGCAUGAACAAUUUGACCAAGCUGAUCGAGAAGCUAACGAGUGGAUGGCUAGGGAGAUUGCCAAGGAUGUUGCACAACUCAAGGUGGAUAAUAUGAAGCAGAUUGCAAAGCUUAAAGUGAAAGAGGAGAGAAAGA
RNAcentral lists this unclassified non-coding RNA (388 nucleotides) under Hevea brasiliensis (rubber tree). The record is from RNAcentral. Lineage: Eukaryota; Viridiplantae; Streptophyta; Magnoliopsida; Malpighiales; Euphorbiaceae.